Molecule: ribosomal RNA, 573 nt
Filed under: Limnonectes kuhlii (Kuhl's wart frog)
Lineage: Eukaryota; Metazoa; Chordata; Amphibia; Anura; Dicroglossidae
Description: partial large subunit ribosomal RNA
Rfam family: Bacterial large subunit ribosomal RNA
Source: RNAcentral
AACAUCGCCUCUUGUUCAACUAUAAGAGGUCUAGCCUGCCCAGUGACAUAGUUAAACGGCCGCGGUACCCUGACCGUGCGAAGGUAGCAUAAUCACUUGUUCUUUAAAUAAGGACCUGUAUCAACGGCAUCACGAGGGCUAUACUGUCUCCCCUCUCUAAUCAGUGAAACUGACUUCCCCGUGAAGAGGCGGGAAUAAGACUACAAGACGAGAAGACCCCAUGGAGCUUUAAACCCAAUAACAACCUCUAUUUCUUUAUAACUUAAAAAUCAAGAGGUACUGUCUAUUGGUUUUAGGUUGGGGUGACCACGGAGUAAAACUAAACCUCCAUGACGAAUGGUAUAUCCUAAUCCAAGAGCUACUGCUCUAAGAAUCAACAAUUUGACGUAAUAUGAUCCGGCAGCCGAUCAACGAACCAAGUUACCCUGGGGAUAACAGCGCAAUCCAUUUCAAGAGCCCCUAUCGACAAAUGGGUUUACGACCUCGAUGUUGGAUCAGGGUAUCCCAGUGGUGCAGCCGCUACUAAAGGUUUGUUUGUUCAACAAUUAAAACCCUACGUGAUCUGAGUUCAGA